GAUAAACGCUAGCGGCAGGCUUAACACAUGCAAGUCGAGGGGUAGCAUAGAUUGUAGCAAUACAAUUGGUGGCGACCGGCGCACGGGUGCGUAACGCGUAUGCAACCUACCCGUCACAGGGGGAUAAUCCGGAGAAAUCUGGUCUAAUACCCCAUAACAUAUGGAUCGGCAUCGGUUCAUGUUGAAAUUUUCGGAGGUGACGGAUGGGCAUGCGUAGCAUUAGCUUGUUGGUGAGGUAACGGCUCACCAAGGCGACGAUGCUUAGGGGGACUGAGAGGUUUUCCCCCCACACUGGUACUGAGACACGGACCAGACUCCUACGGGAGGCAGCAGUGAGGAAUAUUGGUCAAUGGGCGCAAGCCUGAACCAGCCAUGCCGCGUGCAGGAUGACGGCUCUAUGAGUUGUAAACUGCUUUUGUACGAGGGUAAAGUGGGUUACGUGUAACCUUUUGAAAGUAUCGUACGAAUAAGGAUCGGCUAACUCCAUGCCAGCCGCCGCAGUAA
RNAcentral lists this ribosomal RNA (504 nucleotides) under uncultured bacterium. RNAcentral's name for it is "partial 16S ribosomal RNA". It matches the Rfam family "Bacterial small subunit ribosomal RNA", at positions 28 to 523 of the family's 1533-position model. The record is from RNAcentral.